Molecule: signal recognition particle RNA, 266 nt
Filed under: Bacillota bacterium
Lineage: Bacteria; Bacillati; Bacillota
Also listed under: 2 other names
Description: signal recognition particle sRNA large type
Rfam family: Bacterial large signal recognition particle RNA
About the family: The signal recognition particle (SRP) is a universally conserved ribonucleoprotein involved in the co-translational targeting of proteins to membranes. Archaeal SRP consists of a 7S RNA and homologues of the eukaryotic SRP19 and SRP54 proteins.
Source: RNAcentral
CCGUGCUAGAUGGGGAAUUAGCGGUGCCCUGUAACCUGCAACCCGCUACAGCAGGGUCGAAUUCCUGAGCUGAGGGCUUACUUUGUGGGGUCUGGCUCGAGUAAGUGGCGUUGAAGUUUGGGUCCGGCGCAACAGGACAUUCUGAACCGUGUCAGGUCCGGAAGGAAGCAGCACUAAAGAAUCCAUCCUGUGUGACGCAGGGUAGCCUGAAUGGAGCAAACUGCUGGAGUAUCGCCCGGAAAGUAUUUUCGAGGCCAGGUGCACGG